ACGGGAGGCAGCAGUGGGGAAUAUUGCACAAUGGGCGAAAGCCUGAUGCAGCGACGCCGCGUGAACGAAGAAGUAUUUCGGUAUGUAAAGUUCUAUCAGCAGGGAAGAUAAUGACGGUACCUGACUAAGAAGCACCGGCUAAAUACGUGCCAGCAGCCGCGGUAAUACGUAUGGUGCAAGCGUUAUCCGGAUUUACUGGGUGUAAAGGGAGCGCAGGCGGCGCGGCAAGUCUGAAGUGAAAUCCCGGGGCUCAACCCCGGAACUGCUUUGGAAACUGUCGUGCUAGAGUGUCGGAGGGGUAAGCGGAAUUCCUAGUGUAGCGGUGAAAUGCGUAGAUAUUAGGAGGAACACCAGUGGCGAAGGCGGCUUACUGGACGAUAACUGACGCUGAGGCUCGAAAGCGUGGGGAGCAAACAGGAUUAGAUACCCUGGUA
This 434-nucleotide ribosomal RNA is filed under the name uncultured Lachnospiraceae bacterium. RNAcentral's name for it is "bacterial SSU rRNA". It matches the Rfam family "Bacterial small subunit ribosomal RNA", at positions 341 to 792 of the family's 1533-position model. Lineage: Bacteria; Bacillati; Bacillota; Clostridia; Lachnospirales; Lachnospiraceae. The record is from RNAcentral.